This 482-nucleotide ribosomal RNA is filed under the name uncultured bacterium. RNAcentral's name for it is "partial 16S ribosomal RNA". It matches the Rfam family "Bacterial small subunit ribosomal RNA", at positions 30 to 507 of the family's 1533-position model. The record is from RNAcentral.
AUUGAACGCUGGCGGCAUGCCUUACACAUGCAAGUCGAACGGUAACAGGCCGCAUGGUGCUGACGAGUGGUGAACGGGGGAGUAAUGCAUCGGAACGUGCGCAGUCGUGGGGGGUAACUAGUCCAAAGAGUAGCUAUUACCGCAUACGAUCUAUGGAUGAGAGCGGGGGACCGUAAGGCCUCGCGCGCUUGGAGCGGCCGAUGUCAGAUUAGGUAGUGGGGGGGGUAAAGGCUCACCAAGCCAACGAUCUGUAUCUGUUCUGAGAGGACGAACAGCCACACUGGAACUGAGACACGGCCCAGACUCCUACGGGAAGAAGCAGUGGGGAAUAUUGGACAAUGGGCGAAAGCCUGAUCCAGCAAUGCCGCGUGCAGGAAGAAGGCCUUCGGAUUGUAAAAUGCUUUAGGUCGGAAGGAAGCGGAUUUAGUUAAUACCCGACGAUAAUGACGGUACCGGAAGAAUAAGCACCGGCUAACUACGUG